This 29-nucleotide non-coding RNA is filed under the name Rattus norvegicus (Norway rat). Lineage: Eukaryota; Metazoa; Chordata; Mammalia; Rodentia; Muridae. The record is from RNAcentral.
UAGGUAAUUUUACAAUUUAGACAGUUCCU